This 359-nucleotide long non-coding RNA is filed under the name Daucus carota (carrot). Its description in RNAcentral is "long non-coding RNA (DCAR_LNC001028)". Lineage: Eukaryota; Viridiplantae; Streptophyta; Magnoliopsida; Apiales; Apiaceae. The record is from RNAcentral.
GGGAACUAGUAUUGAAAAGGCACCAAUAGAUCGUGAUACAUCUCGCAGCAAUGAUGAAGAAGAUGAUGACGAAGAUGAUGAAGCGGAGGACUUCCCCCUUCAUUAACUGCACAAGGUUUAUCAACGACUUAACUUUUGGAACAAAUCUUUUGAGACUUGCCUAUAAAGACUAAACAUUUCUGACGUAGAUGUAUAUUUUGCGUACAAAAUUAGUCUGUAGUACUUAGUCACUCUAUAGGGCCGUAGGCAGCCUUUAACUUUCGUGACUAGACGUUUAGUAGGUUGAACAUAUUUUGCUAAACAUUCUGCGUAACCUUGCAGAACCUCUGGUAUUAAGCUUCCUAUAUGGUCUGAAGAUG